GGCCCGUUAGCUCAGUUGGUUGUAGAGCGUCGUGCUAAUAACGCGAAGGCUAAGUCGCGGGUCUGAUCCCCACGGGCCA
Molecule: non-coding RNA, 79 nt
Organism: Trichonephila inaurata madagascariensis
Lineage: Eukaryota; Metazoa; Arthropoda; Arachnida; Araneae; Nephilidae
Source: the annotation of a GenBank genome assembly